Bactrocera latifrons is the source of this 360-nucleotide long non-coding RNA. RefSeq lists it as uncharacterized. The transcript has 2 exons. Lineage: Eukaryota; Metazoa; Arthropoda; Insecta; Diptera; Tephritidae. The record is from RefSeq and is a predicted model, not a curated record.
AAGCAUUCGGAAUUCACAAAAUUUUAAACAACCCACUUAACAAAUGAGUAGUAAUGGUAGAAAAUUAUUAAUUGGAUUUAGGUUUUGGGGUUAAAAUGGGUAUGUACGGACAGAGGAGGUCCUCCAGAUCAAGAAUGUAUACAUUCCUACCUAAAACAUAUACACCGUAUAUUUUACAAAUCAAACCAAAAUAAAGAGAUGGACGACCAAUUAAAGAAUUUAAAAUGUGAAAGAAUAACUCGGGAGUAGCUGCAGGAUUCCAGCACACUAUUUCAACAAUAACAUCUUUUUAUUCACUCAUGUAGUAACAUUAUUUGCAAAUAAAGUGUUGACCGAAUUAUUUAAACAUAAAUUUGUAAA